AGUGAACGCUGGCGGUAGGCCUAACACAUGCAAGUCGAACGGCAGCACAGUAAGAGCUUGCUCUUACGGGUGGCGAGUGGCGGACGGGUGCGGAAUACAUCGGAAUCUACUUUUUCGUGGGGGAUGACGUAGGGAAACUUACGCUAAUACCGCAUACGACCUACGGGUGAAAGCAGGGGAUCUUCGGACCUUGCGCGAUUGAAUGAGCCGAUGUCGGAUUAGCUAGUUGGCGGGGUAAAGGCCCACCAAGGGGACGAUCCGUAGCUGGUCUGAGAGGAUGAUCAGCCACACUGGAACUGAGACACGGUCCAGACUCCUACGGGAGGCAGCAGUGGGGAAUAUUGGACAAUGGGCGCAAGCCUGAUCCAGCCAUACCGCGUGGGUGAAGAAGGCCUUCGGGUUGUAAAGCCCUUUUGUUGGGAAAGAAAAGCAGCAGGUUAAUACCCCGCUGUUCUGACGGUACCCAAAGAAUAAGCACCGGCUAACUUCGUG
This 492-nucleotide ribosomal RNA is filed under the name uncultured bacterium. Its description in RNAcentral is "partial 16S ribosomal RNA". It matches the Rfam family "Bacterial small subunit ribosomal RNA", at positions 29 to 507 of the family's 1533-position model. The record is from RNAcentral.